RNAcentral lists this ribosomal RNA (374 nucleotides) under uncultured organism. RNAcentral's name for it is "partial 16S ribosomal RNA". It matches the Rfam family "Bacterial small subunit ribosomal RNA", at positions 527 to 896 of the family's 1533-position model. The record is from RNAcentral.
GUAGGUGGCAAGCGUUGUCCGGAAUUAUUGGGCGUAAAGCGCGCGCAGGCGGUCCUUUAAGUCUGAUGUGAAAGCCCACGGCUCAACCGUGGAGGGUCAUUGGAAACUGGGGGACUUGAGUACAGAAGAGGAAAGCGGAAUUCCAAGUGUAGCGGUGAAAUGCGUAGAGAUUUGGAGGAACACCAGUGGCGAAGGCGGCUUUCUGGUCUGUAACUGACGCUGAGGCGCGAAAGCGUGGGGUAGCAAACAGGAUUAGAUACCCUGGUAGUCCACGCCGUAAACGAUGAGUGCUAAGUGUUAGGGGGUUUCCCGCCCCCUUAGUGCUGCAGCUAACGCAUUAAGCACUCCGCCUGGGGAGUACGGCCGCAAGGCUG